RNAcentral lists this ribosomal RNA (465 nucleotides) under uncultured bacterium. Its description in RNAcentral is "partial 16S ribosomal RNA". It matches the Rfam family "Bacterial small subunit ribosomal RNA", at positions 28 to 507 of the family's 1533-position model. The record is from RNAcentral.
GACGAACGCUGGCGGCGUGCUUAACACAUGCAUGUCGAACGGAAAGGCCCUGCUUGCUGGGUACUCGAGUGGCGAACGGGUGAGUAACACGUGGGUGAUCUGCCCUUCACUUCGGGAUACGCCUGGGAAACUGGGCCUAAUACCCGAUAGGAGCCAUUUUGAGUGUGAUGGUUGGAAAGUUUUUUCGGUGUAGGAUGAGCUCGCGGCCUAUCAGCUUGUUGGUGGGGUAAUGGCCUACCAAGGCGGCGACGGGUAGCCGGCCUGAGAGGGUGGACGGCCAUACUGGGACUGAGGGACGGCCGAGACGCCGACGGGAGGAAGCAGGGGGGAAGAGUGAACCAUGGGCGCGGGGCUGAUGCAGCGACGCCGCGUGGGGGAUGACGGCCUUCGGGUUGUAAACUCCUUUCGCUAGGGACGAAGCUUUUUGUGACGGUACCUAGAUAAGAAGCACCGGCUAACUACGUG